Molecule: transfer RNA, 76 nt
Filed under: Rhodospirillales bacterium
Lineage: Bacteria; Pseudomonadati; Pseudomonadota; Alphaproteobacteria; Rhodospirillales
Description: tRNA-Arg
Rfam family: tRNA
About the family: Transfer RNA (tRNA) molecules are approximately 80 nucleotides in length. Their secondary structure includes four short double-helical elements and three loops (D, anti-codon, and T loops). Further hydrogen bonds mediate the characteristic L-shaped molecular structure. tRNAs have two regions of fundamental functional importance: the anti-codon, which is responsible for specific mRNA codon recognition, and the 3' end, to which the tRNAs corresponding amino acid is attached (by aminoacyl-tRNA synthetases). tRNAs cope with the degeneracy of the genetic code in two manners: having more than one tRNA (with a specific anti-codon) for a particular amino acid; and 'wobble' base-pairing, i.e. permitting non-standard base-pairing at the 3rd anti-codon position.
Source: RNAcentral
GCGCCGGUAGCUCAGUUGGAUAGAGCGCCUGACUACGGAUCAGGAGGUCGUGGGUUCGAAUCCUUCCCGCGCGCCA